CCUACGGGUGGCAGCAGUGAGGAAUAUUGGUCAAUGGGCGCGAGCCUGAACCAGCCAAGUCGCGUGAGGGAAGAAGGCACUGCGUAUCGUAAACCUCUUUUGUCAAGGAAUAAAGGCGGGGACUAGUCCCCGGAUGUGGGUACCUUAAGAAAAAGCAUCGGCUAACUCCGUGCCAGCAGCCGCGGUAAUACGGAGGAUUCGAGCGUUAUCCGGAUUUAUUGGGUUUAAAGGGUGCGCAGGCGGGCCGUUAAGUCAGCGGUAAAAGCCUGCGGCUCAACCCCGGCAGAGCGUUUGAUCCUGGCGGGCUGGAGUUGGAGAGAGGUAGGCGGAAUUCGUGGUGUAGCGGUGAAAUGCUUAGAUAUCGCGCAGAACCCCGAUUGCGAAGGCAGCGUACCGGCCCCACACUGACGCUGAGGCACGAAAGCGUGGGUAUCGAACAGGAUUAGAUACCCGAGUAGUC
RNAcentral lists this ribosomal RNA (460 nucleotides) under uncultured bacterium. RNAcentral's name for it is "partial 16S ribosomal RNA". It matches the Rfam family "Bacterial small subunit ribosomal RNA", at positions 338 to 795 of the family's 1533-position model. The record is from RNAcentral.